GAUGAAUUUGGGGGGAGGAAGUAGAUUAAUUUGAGGAGAUUUGAGAAUAAAUUGAUUGUUGCUUUUUUGAAUGGAUUUGGAGAUAAGUAAGAGUGAAUUUGAAAGUAUAAUUUGUGAAAAUUAGUCUAGAAUUUGACGGAUGUGACAAAUAAAAAAUGGUUUAAUUGGUAGAAAUUAAAGAUUACCAAAAUAUCCUUAAUAGUAACAAUAAUAUAAAAUGAUAAUUGUUAAUAAUAUAUAGGCUUAAU
Molecule: long non-coding RNA, 248 nt
Filed under: Vigna radiata
Lineage: Eukaryota; Viridiplantae; Streptophyta; Magnoliopsida; Fabales; Fabaceae
Description: long non-coding RNA (VRAD_LNC006767)
Source: RNAcentral